GAAUGGGGAAACCCAGUGUGAUUCGUCACACUAUCAUUAACUGAAUCCAUAGGUUAAUGAGGCGAACCGGGGGAACUGAAACAUCUAAGUACCCCGAGGAAAAGAAAUCAACCGAGAUUCCCCCAGUAGCGGCGAGCGAACGGGGAGCAGCCCAGAGCCUGAAUCAGUGUGUGUGUUAGUGGAAGCGUCUGGAAAGGCGCGCGAUACAGGGUGACAGCCCCGUACACAAAAAUGCACAUAUUGUGAGCUCGAUG
This 254-nucleotide ribosomal RNA is filed under the name Shigella sonnei. RNAcentral's name for it is "partial 23S ribosomal RNA". It matches the Rfam family "Bacterial large subunit ribosomal RNA", at positions 116 to 410 of the family's 2925-position model. The record is from RNAcentral. Lineage: Bacteria; Pseudomonadati; Pseudomonadota; Gammaproteobacteria; Enterobacterales; Enterobacteriaceae.